RNAcentral lists this ribosomal RNA (235 nucleotides) under Klebsiella pneumoniae. RNAcentral describes it as "partial 16S ribosomal RNA". It matches the Rfam family "Bacterial small subunit ribosomal RNA", at positions 1264 to 1498 of the family's 1533-position model. The record is from RNAcentral. Lineage: Bacteria; Pseudomonadati; Pseudomonadota; Gammaproteobacteria; Enterobacterales; Enterobacteriaceae.
CAAGCGGACCUCAUAAAGUAUGUCGAAGUCCGGAUUGGAGUCUGCAACUCGACUCCAUGAACUCGCAAUCGCUAGUAAUCGUAGAUCAGAAUGCUACGGUGAAUACGAACCCGGGCCUUGUACACACCGCCCGUCACACCAAUGGAGUGGGUUGCAAAAGAAGUAUGUAGCUUAACAUUCGGGAGGGCGCUUACCACGUUGUGAUUCAUGACUGGGGUGAAGUCGUAACAAGGUA